GGCCUGAUGGUCUACGGGUAUGAUUCUCGCUUUGGGUGCGAGAGGUCCCGGGUUCAAAUCCCAGUCAGGCCC
RNAcentral lists this transfer RNA (72 nucleotides) under Penaeus vannamei (Pacific white shrimp). RNAcentral describes it as "Litopenaeus vannamei (Pacific white shrimp) tRNA". It matches the Rfam family "tRNA". From Rfam's summary of the family: Transfer RNA (tRNA) molecules are approximately 80 nucleotides in length. Their secondary structure includes four short double-helical elements and three loops (D, anti-codon, and T loops). The record is from Rfam by way of RNAcentral. Lineage: Eukaryota; Metazoa; Arthropoda; Malacostraca; Decapoda; Penaeidae.